Molecule: ribosomal RNA, 1124 nt
Filed under: uncultured microorganism
Description: bacterial SSU rRNA
Rfam family: Bacterial small subunit ribosomal RNA
Source: RNAcentral
GGCUUACGGGUAGUUGGUCUGAGAGGAUGAUCAGCAACACUGGGACUGAGACACUGCCCUGCCUCCUAGUUGGGUGUGCCGUCGAGUUUGUUUGUUCGUGCUCGGAAGUUGACCUUGCGACGCGGCUGGAGGAAGACGGCUUCGGUUUUAAACUCCUGUCAGCAGGGAGUAAGGAUGGGUUCUUUAAUACAGAUUUCAUUUGAUAGUACUGCAGAGGAAGUCACGGCUAACUCUGUGCCAGCAGCGCGGUAAUACAGAGGUGGCGAACGUUGUUCGGAUUUACUGGCGUAAAGGGUCCGCAGGCGGUCUGUGUGUCGGGUGUGAAAGCUCACGGCUCAACCGUGGAAUUGCAUUCGAAACUGCAGGACUAGAGUACUGGAGGGGAGAAGGGAACACUUGGUGUAGCGGUGAAAUGCGUAGAUAUCAAGUGGAACACCGGAGGCGAAGGCGCUUCUCUGGACAGAUACUGACGCUCAUGGACGAAAGUUAGGGUCGCGAAAGGGAUUAGAUACCCCUGUAGUCCUAACUGUAAACGGUGUGCGCUAGGCGUGGGUGGCUUUACCCCCAUCCGUGCCUGAGCUAACGCAUUAAGCGCACCGCCUGGGGAGUACGGUCGCAAGAUUAAAACUCAAAGGAAUUGACGGGGACCCGCACAAGCGGUGGAGCAUGUGGCUUAAUUCGAUGCAACGCGAAGAACCUUACCUGGGCUUGACAUAUAGCUGCAUCCGACCCGAAAGGGACGGAGCCUUCGAGGGUGCUAUACAGGUGCUGCAUGGCUGUCGUCAGCUCGUGCCGUGAGGUGUUGGGUUAAGUCCCGCAACGAGCGCAACCCCUGUGUUUAGUUGCCAGCACGUUAUGGUGGGCACUCUUAACAGACUGCCUGUGGAAGCAGGAGGAUGGUGGGGAUGACGUCAGGUCAGUAUGGUCCUUAUGUCCAGGCUGGACACGUGCUACAAUUGGAUGUACAGUGGGAGGCUAAGCCGCGAGGUGGAGCAAAUCCUCAAAACAUCCCCCAGUUCGGAUUGUAGUCUGAAACUCGACUACAUGAAGUUGGAAUCGCUAGUAAAGGCGUAUCAGCUACGACGCCUUGAAUACGUUCCCGGGUCUUGCACUCACCGCCCGUC